Molecule: ribosomal RNA, 916 nt
Filed under: uncultured bacterium
Lineage: Bacteria
Description: bacterial SSU rRNA
Rfam family: Bacterial small subunit ribosomal RNA
Source: RNAcentral
UUGUUGGUAAGGUAAAAGCUUACCAAGGCUUCGAUCAGUAGCUGGUCUGAGAGGACGACCAGCCACACUGGGACUGAGACACGGCCCAGACUCCUACGGGAGGCAGCAGUGGGGAAUUUUGGACAAUGGGGGCAACCCUGAUCCAGCCAUGCCGCGUGAGUGAAGAAGGCCUUCGGGUUGUAAAGCUCUUUCAGCCGGAACGAAACGGUUACGGAUAACACCCGUGACUACUGACGGUACCGGAAGAAGAAGCACCGGCUAACUACGUGCCAGCAGCCGCGGUAAUACGUAGGGUGCGAGCGUUAAUCGGAAUUACUGGGCGUAAAGCGUGCGCAGGUGGUUUUGUAAGUCAGAUGUGAAAGCCCCGGGCUCAACCUGGGAACUGCGUUUGAAACUACAAGACUAGAGUGUGGCAGAGGGGGGUGGAAUUCCGCGUGUAGCAGUGAAAUGCGUAGAGAUGUGGAGGAACACCGAUGGCGAAGGCAGCCCCCUGGGUCAACACUGACGCUCGGGCACGAAAGCAUGGGGAGCAAACAGGAUUAGAUACCCUGGUAGUCCAUGCCCUAAACGAUGUCAACUAGUUGUCGGGCCUUUACGGGCUUGGUAACGUAGCUAACGCGUGAAGUUGACCGCCUGGGGAGUACGAUCGCAAGAUUAAAACUCAAAUGAAUUGACGGGGACCCGCACAAGCGGUGGAUUAUGUGGAUUAAUUCGAUGCAACGCGAAAAACCUUACCUACCCUUGACAUGUAUCGAAGCCCGCAGAAAAGCGGGGGUGCCCGAAAGGGAACGAUAACACAGGUGCUGCAUGGCUGUCGUCAGCUCGUGUCGUGAGAUGUUGGGUUAAGUCCCGCAACGAGCGCAACCCUUGUCAUUAAUUGCCAUCAUUUAGUUGGGCACUUUAAUGAGACUGCCGG